UGGGGAAUUUUGGACAAUGGACGCAAGUCUGAUCCAGCCAUGCCGCGUGCGGGAAGCAGGCCUUCGGGUUGUAAACCGCUUUUGUCAGGGAAGAAAUCUUCUGGGUUAAUACCUCGGGAGGAUGACGGUACCUGAAGAAUAAGCACCGGCUACCUACGUGCCAGCAGCCGCGGUAAUACGUAGGGUGCACGCGUUAAUCGGAAUUACUGGGCGUAAAGCGUGCGCAGGCGGUUAUGCAAGACAGAUGUGAAAUCCCCGGGCUCAACCUGGGAACUGCAUUUGUGACUGCAUGGCUGGAGUGCGGGAGAGGGGGAUGGAAUUCCGCGGGUAGCAGUGAAAUGCGUAGAUAUGCGGAGGAACACCGGUGGCGAAGGCAAUCCCCUGGAACUGUACUGACGCUGAUGAACGAAAGCGUGGGGAGCAAACA
Molecule: ribosomal RNA, 427 nt
Filed under: uncultured bacterium
Lineage: Bacteria
Description: bacterial SSU rRNA
Rfam family: Bacterial small subunit ribosomal RNA
Source: RNAcentral